GAGUUUGAUCAUGGCUCAGAUUGAACGCUGGCGGCAUGCCUUACACAUGCAAGUCGAACGGCAGCACGGGAGCUUGCUCCUGGUGGCGAGUGGCGAACGGGUGAGUAAUGCAUCGGAACGUAUCCUGGGGUGGGGGAUAACGUAGCGAAAGUUACGCUAAUACCGCAUAUUCUGUGAGCAGGAAAGCGGGGGACCUUCGGGCCUCGCGCUCCUGGAGCGGCCGAUGUCGGAUUAGCUAGUUGGUGAGGUAAAGGCUCACCAAGGCGACGAUCCGUAGCAGGUCUGAGAGGAUGAUCUGCCACACUGGAACUGAGACACGGUCCAGACUCCUACGGGAGGCAGCAGUGGGGAAUUUUGGACAAUGGGGGCAACCCUGAUCCAGCCAUGCCGCGUGAGUGAAGAAGGCC
Molecule: ribosomal RNA, 407 nt
Filed under: bacterium enrichment culture clone ALO1_GLFRUDD03F8QOE
Lineage: Bacteria
Description: bacterial SSU rRNA
Rfam family: Bacterial small subunit ribosomal RNA
Source: RNAcentral